AGUGAACGCUGGCGGUAUGCCUAACACAUGCAAGUCGAACGGCAGCACAGUAAGAUCUUUCUCUUACGGUUGGCGGGUGGCGGACGGGUGAGGAAUACAUCGGAAUCUACUUUUUCGUGGGGGAUAACGUAGGGAAACUUACGCUAAUACCGCAUACGACCUACGGGUUAAAGCAGUGGAUCUUCGGACCUUGCGCGAUUGAAUUAGCCGAUGUCGGAUUAGCUAGUUGGCGGGGUAAAGGCCCACCAAGGCGACGAUCCGUAGCUGGUCUGAGAGGAUGAUCAGCCACACUGGAACUGAGACACGGUCCAGACUCCUACGGGAGGCAGCAGUGGGGAAUAUUGGACAAUGGGCGCAAGCCUGAUCCAGCAAUACCGCGUGGGUGAAGAAGGCCUUCGGGUUGUAAAGCCCUUUUGUUGGGAAAGAAAAGAAGCAGGUUAAUACACCGAUGUUCUGACGGUACCCAAAGAAUAAGCAACGGCUAACUUCGUG
This 492-nucleotide ribosomal RNA is filed under the name uncultured bacterium. Its description in RNAcentral is "partial 16S ribosomal RNA". It matches the Rfam family "Bacterial small subunit ribosomal RNA", at positions 29 to 507 of the family's 1533-position model. The record is from RNAcentral.